RNAcentral lists this ribosomal RNA (722 nucleotides) under uncultured Fusobacterium sp. RNAcentral describes it as "bacterial SSU rRNA". It matches the Rfam family "Bacterial small subunit ribosomal RNA", at positions 28 to 776 of the family's 1533-position model. Lineage: Bacteria; Fusobacteriati; Fusobacteriota; Fusobacteriia; Fusobacteriales; Fusobacteriaceae. The record is from RNAcentral.
GAUGAACGCUGACAGAAUGCUUAACACAUGCAAGUCAACUUGAACUUUGGUUUGGGUGGCGGACGGGUGAGUAACGCGUAAAGAACUUGCCUCACAGCUAGGGACAACAUUUGGAAACGAAUGCUAAUACCUGAUAUUAUAAUUAUAUGGCAUCGUAUAAUUAUGAAAGCUAAAUGCACUGUGAGAGAGCUUUGCGUCCCAUUAGCUAGUUGGAGAGGUAACGGCUCACCAAGGCGAUGAUGGGUAGCCGGCCUGAGAGGGUGAACGGCCACAAGGGGACUGAGACACGGCCCUUACUCCUACGGGAGGCAGCAGUGGGGAAUAUUGGACAAUGGACCGAGAGUCUGAUCCAGCAAUUCUGUGUGCACGAUGAAGUUUUUCGGAAUGUAAAGUGCUUUCAGUUGGGAAGAAAAAAAUGACGGUACCAACAGAAGAAGUGACGGCUAAAUACGUGCCAGCAGCCGCGGUAAUACGUAUGUCACGAGCGUUAUCCGGAUUUAUUGGGCGUAAAGCGCGUCUAGGUGGUUAUGUAAGUCUGAUGUGAAAAUGCAGGGCUCAACUCUGUAUUGCGUUGGAAACUGUAUAACUAGAGUACUGGAGAGGUAAGCGGAACUACAAGUGUAGAGGUGAAAUUCGUAGAUAUUUGUAGGAAUGCCGAUGGGGAAGCCAGCUUACUGGACAGAUACUGACGCUGAAGCGCGAAAGCGUGGGUAGCAAACAGG